GAUGAACGCUAGGACAGGCCUAACACAUGCAAGUCGAGGGGCAGCACGGAAGUAGCAAUACGACUGGUGGCGACCGGCGCACGGGUGAGUAACACGUAUGCAACCUGCCUGUAAGAGGGGAAUAACCCGGAGAAAUCCGGACUAAUACCGCAUAAUACUGUGAAACUGCAUGGUUUUACAGUUAAACAUUUAUGGCUUACAGAUGGGCAUGCGUAUGAUUAGCUAGUUGGUGAGGUAACGGCUCACCAAGGCAACGAUCAUUAGGGGUUCUGAGAGGAAGGUCCCCCACACUGGUACUGAGACACGGACCAGACUCCUACGGGAGGCAGCAGUGAGGAAUAUUGGUCAAUGGGCGAGAGCCUGAACCAGCCAAGUCGCGUGAAAGGAAGAAGGUUCUAUGGAUUGUAAACUUCUUUUGUAAGGGAAUAAAAAAGAGUACGUGUACUCUAUUGUAUGUACUUUACGAAUAAGGAUCGGCUAACUCCGUG
RNAcentral lists this ribosomal RNA (488 nucleotides) under uncultured bacterium. Its description in RNAcentral is "bacterial SSU rRNA". It matches the Rfam family "Bacterial small subunit ribosomal RNA", at positions 28 to 507 of the family's 1533-position model. The record is from RNAcentral.